RNAcentral lists this ribosomal RNA (1451 nucleotides) under uncultured organism. RNAcentral's name for it is "16S ribosomal RNA". It matches the Rfam family "Bacterial small subunit ribosomal RNA". The record is from RNAcentral.
UAAUACAUGCAAGUAGAACGCUGAAGAGAGCAUCUUGCUCUUCUUGGAUGAGUUGCGAACGGGUGAGUAACGCGUAGGUAACCUGCCUUGUAGCGGGGGAUAACUAUUGGAAACGAUAGCUAAUACCGCAUAACAAUAGGUGACACAUGUCAUUUAUUUGAAAGGGGCAAUUGCUCCACUACAAGAUGGACCUGCGUUGUAUUAGCUAGUAGGUGAGGUAACGGCUCACCUAGGCGACGAUACAUAGCCGACCUGAGAGGGUGAUCGGCCACACUGGGACUGAGACACGGCCCAGACUCCUACGGGAGGCAGCAGUAGGGAAUCUUCGGCAAUGGGGGCAACCCUGACCGAGCAACGCCACGUGAGUGAAGAAGGUUUUCGGAUCGUAAAGCUCUGUUGUAAGUCAAGAACGAGUGUGAGAGUGGAAAGUUCACACUGUGACGGUAGCUUACCAGAAAGGGACGGCUAACUACGUGCCAGCAGCCGCGGUAAUACGUAGGUCCCGAGCGUUGUCCGGAUUUAUUGGGCGUAAAGCGAGCGCAGGCGGUUUGAUAAGUCUGAAGUUAAAGGCUGUGGCUCAACCAUAGUUCGCUUUGGAAACUGUCAAACUUGAGUGCAGAAGGGGAGAGUGGAAUUCCAUGUGUAGCGGUGAAAUGCGUAGAUAUAUGGAGGAACACCGGUGGCGAAAGCGGCUCUCUGGUCUGUAACUGACGCUGAGGCUCGAAAGCGUGGGGAGCGAACAGGAUUAGAUACCCUGGUAGUCCACGCCGUAAACGAUGAGUGCUAGGUGUUGGAUCCUUUCCGGGAUUCAGUGCCGCAGCUAACGCAUUAAGCACUCCGCCUGGGGAGUACGACCGCAAGGUUGAAACUCAAAGGAAUUGACGGGGGCCCGCACAAGCGGUGGAGCAUGUGGUUUAAUUCGAAGCAACGCGAAGAACCUUACCAGGUCUUGACAUCCCGAUGCUAUUUCUAGAGAUAGAAAGUUACUUCGGUACAUCGGUGACAGGUGGUGCAUGGUUGUCGUCAGCUCGUGUCGUGAGAUGUUGGGUUAAGUCCCGCAACGAGCGCAACCCCUAUUGUUAGUUGCCAUCAUUCAGUUGGGCACUCUAGCGAGACUGCCGGUAAUAAACCGGAGGAAGGUGGGGAUGACGUCAAAUCAUCAUGCCCCUUAUGACCUGGGCUACACACGUGCUACAAUGGUUGGUACAACGAGUUGCGAGUCGGUGACGGCAAGCUAAUCUCUUAAAGCCAAUCUCAGUUCGGAUUGUAGGCUGCAACUCGCCUACAUGAAGUCGGAAUCGCUAGUAAUCGCGGAUCAGCACGCCGCGGUGAAUACGUUCCCGGGCCUUGUACACACCGCCCGUCACACCACGAGAGUUUGUAACACCCGAAGUCGGUGAGGUAACCUUUUGGAGCCAGCCGCCUAAGGUGGGAUAGAUGAUUGGGGUGAA